GACAGAGGGUGCAAACGUUGUUCGGAAUUACUGGGCGUAAAGCGAGUGUAGGCGGUUCGGUAAGUCGGAUGUGAAAGCCCCCGGGCUCAACCCGGGAAGUGCACUCGAUACUGCCGAGCUAGAGUAUCGGAGAGGUUGGUGGAAUUCUCGGUGUAGAGGUGAAAUUCGUAGAUAUCGAGAGGAACACCGGUGGCGAAGGCGGCCAACUGGACGAAUACUGACGCUGAGACUCGAAAGCGUGGGGAGCAAACAGG
RNAcentral lists this ribosomal RNA (254 nucleotides) under uncultured bacterium. RNAcentral describes it as "partial 16S ribosomal RNA". It matches the Rfam family "Bacterial small subunit ribosomal RNA", at positions 524 to 776 of the family's 1533-position model. The record is from RNAcentral.